CGGGGAGCAUGGCCGAGCCCGGGGCGGGGGACGCGGCGGGGGCGCCGCCGCCGCGGGUGGGCGCGUGGGUGCCCGUGCUGGUGGAGCAGAUGGUGAACGACACGCUGGUGGUGACGCUGAGCUGCGGGGAGCGCCGCUUCACCGGCGUGCUGCUGGACUGCUCCAAGAGGUCUGGAUUGUUCUGCCUGCCAUCCUCCUUCCCCAAGCACGAGGAGCCCCCGGCCGGCGCCUGCGCUAACGGGGCCGCUGCCGCGCGGGGCGAGCCGCAGCCGCGGCCCGCGGGCGCCCAGCCUGCCGAGGGCAGCGCGGAGGAGCCGGUGCCGCCGCUGCUGCCGGCGCCGGGCAGCCUGCCGCCCUUCCCGCCCUACUUCGAGGGAGCCCCGUUCCCCCGGCCCCUGUGGCUGCGGCACACCUACAACCAGUGGGUCCCGCAGCCGCCGCCACGGACUAUAAAGAGGACGAGGAGGCGCUUGUCGCGCAACAGGGACCCGGGCAGGCUCAUCAUGAGCACCAUCAGGCUGCGGCCCAGGCAGGUGCUCUGCGAGAAGUGCAAGAACACGCUGAACCCCGAGGAUGCCAACGCGCCGCGGCAGAACGCCAAGACCAGGAGGAAGCUGAGCAUUCAGGACAAGGAGCAGAAGAAGCACAGCGACUCUGACUACGUGGAGAAAAGGAACAAAAGAGAGAAGAGGGAGGAUGACAAGUUUUCUGGGGAGCUGGUGCAUCGAACGCCAGUUAUAAAAAUAUCCUACAGUACUCCACAAGGGAAGGGUGAAGUGGUAAAAAUCCCUUCCCGGGUUCAUGGCUCGGUCAAACCGUUCUGUCCGGAGCAAGCGUUGCAGAACGGAGCCGGGGACCAAGAGGAGAGCAGGGACUCUGAACGGUGUCGACAAACCAAAUGUUUAAUGGACAAGUCAGCAGGCAGCCAGCUUGCUUCCAUUCCAAAACUGAAGCUCACACGGCCAGUGCAUUCCAGUGUGGAUGUCCCACCCCCAAAGAUACGGCUGAAGCCCCAUCGCAUCAACGAUGGUCAGAGUGUUUCAAUUUAUAAGGCAGAACUGAUUGAUGAAAUCAAUGUCCUCCAGAACAGCAGGGAGUCCAAUCCCGAAGCGUUUUACAAUGAUGAGUCCACCGACAGAAGUUUGGCUGAGAUAUCUUCAGGCAGUUCAGGUGAAGAUGAUGACUUCAAAAGGUUUCCCCAGGGUAAAGAUGGACAUGAUAACUUGGCUUUCCUCAUGAAUUACCGUAAAAGAAAAGCAGAUUCUUCUAGUUUAUCGGUGUGUAGCAAUGACAGUCUAGAUGAAUCCAAGUCUUCUAGUUCAGAGGUGACAUCACCAGAACUGUGUGACUUUUUACCUGGUGAUGAUGCCUCCGUCUCUUCAUCUUCAAAAGAUGAGCGUAAAAUCGUGCCACCACUGACAGUCAGGCUGCACACCCAGAGUGUGUCUAAAUGUGUUACAGAAGAUGGAAGGACUGUUUCAGUGGGGGAUAUUGUCUGGGGUAAAAUUCACGGGUUUCCGUGGUGGCCCGCACGUGUUCUUGACAUCAACCUCAGCCAGAAGGAAAAUGGGGAACCAUCGUGGCGAGAAGCUAAAGUGUCGUGGUUUGGUUCUCCAACAACCUCGUUCUUAUCUGUUUCAAAACUCUCUCCUUUCUCGGAGUUUUUCAAACUGAGGUUUAAUCGCAAGAAGAAGGGCAUGUACCGGAAAGCGAUCACGGAAGCUGCGAAGGCAGUCAAGCACCUGACUCCAGAAAUACGAGAUCUCUUAACACAGUUUGAGACAUAACUUUGCCUCCAGUAUCAGGUGAGAAUGGAAACAUGAGAGCUGAUUCUUCGUAAUGUAUGGAUUUCCCUUUCGCAUCAAACAGUCUGCCUGGGAUGAAAAUCUGGUACCAAAAAAUACAGGAUGUGGCAUGACUGGGAAUACAAGUUCAUGGGAAAAUCCAGUGACUUGGAUGAAACCUGCAGUCGUUUCACAACCUUUCAGUCAUCACUGUCCAGACAAGACCUCAGCUGUGAUGGUAUUAGAUAAGGGUGGGAUUAACUUUUUUUUUGUCAAAAAACGGAGGUAUCACUGGGCCUUGUGUCAAAGACCAUGCUUUAUGCAGAGGGGAUUGUUAUGUUGUCCCCUGAAUGCUGUGCUCUGUUUCAUGCUUGAAGGACUCUGUGUGAGCAAGCCAGUGCUGCUCCUCUGGACUUUCUUCAUUAUCUGAGCUGUCAUAAUGCAGUGGGACUGGGACUGUCAGUGCUCAUGUAGUCCUGAUGGGAAAAUGGGAUUUUUUUCAUACCCUUGUCAUGGGACUUAGCCCCUUGCUUGAGUGUGAUGAAGGACUUGCUUUGCUUGGGUUAUGACUCCAUCUCAGCAAGCCUGGCUGGAGCAACUAACCAGGGCAUGACAUAUUCAUGCUGUGUACUCAGGGUGUCUGGACAACCACAGCAGCAACAUUUCAGCUUCCCUCAUCAUCUUGCCCAUACGACUGCUGCUUAACUCUGGCUAAGGACUUUAUUAUAUCAAGAGUGUUUGGAUUGGACCCAAAUUCCUAUUAGCUAGAUCAGGAGUAUAAAUAAACCUGCUGCCCAGAAUGUACUGUCCUUGCCAGUGGAAGAGUCCUGGCCAAUCCAUGGCUCCUGUCUGGACAGUGCUCUGGUUAAAGGAGCAGCAAACUUCGUCUUCUGAGCUCUCUUCACUGUGUGUGUGAGCAGUUUGGGACAAAGGUGAGGAAUGUCACCAUCGUUCCUGACAUCUGUCCUUGCCCUUGUGGGUCCUGGAUGGCCGGCAUGGCCCAGCUGCAGGAGAAGGGGCAACUGGAGGAAGCACCUAGUGCUCAGAUCAGACAGACUGGCUGUGCCUGUCAGUCCCUGGGGAGAGGGAAAGCUGUGGCCAGGAGGAGUCCCGAGCCCGGAGCUGGAAGUCAGAAGGGGAGGAGGCUUUCCCCUGCAUGCUGGCCCCCAGAGAACGCUGGCUGCUGGCCCCAGCAGGAGCUGGCCACGAUGGGGCACAGGCUGCAGGGCAGGGCCUCGAGGAGGAGAAGAGCCCUUGCUCCUGAGACACGAUGGGACCUGAGCUACAGGUACACAGCAGGCUGUGACUGUGGAACCAUUAAACUUGCAGAUGUUGAAGGCUUUCAUUUUAACUGCUAUGAGUUUAAUAGACCUCAGUGUCAGUACAUCAAGCCAUCUAUCACACUGCUGCUGUGUGCAGCAAACUCUGGGCUGGCUGCAUGCUCACUGUCUAUAGAAACCACUAAUGUAAAACCUGGAGUAUCACGUUGUGACUUCACCUUCAAAGGUGUUCAGGGCUCUGUGUGUCUGUCCAGCCAGUGCUGCUGCCCACAGUUUGUGAAACAGCAUAAAUCCCUCCAUAGCUGUAUUUUCUAACACCUGCCUGAGCACAUGGAGUAUUUCAGUGCAGAAGAUGAAUGCUUGAGAUUUUUCUUGUCCUGCUUUCCAGAUUCUUCGGUCCACUAAAACCAGGCAUCCAACUUAAUUACUGUUUCACAGUCUUCCUGCUUGGAAGUCAGCGUCUCUGCAUGCUAAUACAAGGUGGGAGAGCAAGUCCAGAAUAGACUGUGCUGCAUUUUUGUGUGCCCAGCGCUGAUGGUUGGAGCUGCACCUCAGGUGCCAUCCUGCUGAACUGCCCGUUCCAAAAGCGCUUGCCCUUUGUGCCCAGGGGCUACCCUGUGCUGCCAGCCGUGGCCCCUCUCCAUCCACCCUGCUCCCAGGAAAUUCUGUGGAAAUGCCACUGGGCCAUACAUUGUGCUAUUUCUAACUGCACCUGCGCCGCGCCGGUGCCGGGAAUGCGAUCGGCUUUCAGAGCUGUAACUUCAGCUGCUGGAGGAGACUGGAUCCCCCCAAGGGCUUAGCAGCUCCCUUGGGAGCAGCGAGCUGCUCCGGGCCUGAGGGUCUGCAAGUGCCAGUGCUGCCAAGCGUGCCCACAGUGGCAGGGCAGGUGGGUGUCCCCAGCAGUGUCACCAGCCCACAGUGCCCCCACUGCCUGGAGGGUCCAUCCACACAGCAUCGAGGGCUGUGCCAGGGUCUCAGGGCAGGAAAUGGGAGAGAUGUGUGGACAAAGAACCUGGAAAUUGUUUACUCUGAGAACUUACAAAUAAAGUAAAAACAGAAUUUGUG
Passer montanus (Eurasian tree sparrow) is the source of this 4129-nucleotide RNA transcript. It is a transcript of the gene named PWWP domain containing 2B, with no coding region annotated. Lineage: Eukaryota; Metazoa; Chordata; Aves; Passeriformes; Passeridae. The record is from RefSeq and is a predicted model, not a curated record. The transcript has 5 exons.